AAUAGAUACCCCGGGGUAGUCCAGCCGUAAAACGAUGGAUGCUAGCUGUUAGGAGUAUCGACCCUUCUAGUAGCGAAGCUAACGCGUUAAGCAUCCCGCCUGGGGAGUACGGUCGCAAGAUUAAAAACUCAAAGGAAUUGACGGGGACCCGCACAAGUGGUGGAGCGUGUUCUUUAAUUCGAUGUUAAGCGAAGAACCUUACCAGGGCUUGACAUCCUUGGAAUUUCUCCGAAAGGAGAAAGUACUUUAUUGGACCAAGUGACAGGUGUUGCAUGGCCGUCGUCAGCUCGUGUCGUGAGAUGUUAGGUUAAGUCCUUCAACGAGCGCAACCCUUAUGUUUAGUUGGAUUUUUCUAAACAGACUGCCCCGGUAACGGGGAGGAAGGAGGGGAUGAUGUCAGGUCAUUAUUACCCUUACGCCCUGGCUAGAAACCGCGCUACAAGUGGCUAGGUACAAAGGGCUGCCAACCCGCGAGGGGGUAGCAAACUCCCAUACAAAACCAGCCCCAGUUCGGAUUGCAGGUCUAGAAACUCGCUGCAUGAAGCCGGAAUCGACUAGUAAGUCGUAGGUCAG
Molecule: ribosomal RNA, 573 nt
Filed under: uncultured bacterium
Lineage: Bacteria
Description: bacterial SSU rRNA
Rfam family: Bacterial small subunit ribosomal RNA
Source: RNAcentral